AUGUCCAGCCGCCCCUCCUCUCCUCACACAGAACGGCGCAGCUCCCACCUUGAAGACCGACCGGCAGGGAGGACGGCGGCAGACGGCCGCGCGACGCGACCCCAUCCAGGCGGCGGGCAGGAACCACCGGCAAGCUGGAGCAUCUACCGUCGACCAGCUAGCCACCAAGCUCCAGCGGCAUCCAUCUGCCGCAAGUCUCUUCAGUUUCUUCAGAUGGAUGAUCAAGGCAGGAUGAUAGACUUUGGUGUUGAAGGCCAUGAGUUCAGUCAAAGGACUACAAUACCUUGUCCAAAUAUUGGUCACCAUCAGGACAAUGGACUUGAUGACCUGGAGUUUACUCAAGGAGCUACAGGACAUCAAACAAAUAUUGGUCAGGGCAAUGGACUUGAUGACUUGGAGUUCAGUCAGAGGAUCAUAGGACGCCGUCCUAAUUUUGGUACGCUGCAGCGUUGUGAUGACCUCGACUUUGACCAAAGGAGUGCAAGGCAGCAUGAGGAUAGUGUUUCAAAGUCCAGAAAGAGUCUUCCUAGAGCCAAGUGGAGUCACCAAAUGAAGAUCCUUCCCAGCCAGGAUGCACAUGCACAAACCUCAAAUCAAAGUCACAUGCAACCAUAA
This 615-nucleotide ribosomal RNA is filed under the name Triticum aestivum (bread wheat). Its description in RNAcentral is "partial small subunit ribosomal RNA". Lineage: Eukaryota; Viridiplantae; Streptophyta; Magnoliopsida; Poales; Poaceae. The record is from RNAcentral.